UACAGAGGGGGCAAGCGUUGUUCGGAAUUACUGGGCGUAAAGGGCGCGUAGGCGGCUUGCUAAGUCGAACGUGAAAUCCCCGAGCUCAACUCGGGAACUGCGUCCGAUACUGGCAGGCUUGAAUCCGGGAGAGGGAUGCGGAAUUCCAGGUGUAGCGGUGAAAUGCGUAGAUAUCUGGAGGAACACCGGUGGCGAAGGCGGCAUCCUGGACCGGCAUUGACGCUGAGGCGCGAAGGCUAGGGUAGCGAACGGG
Molecule: ribosomal RNA, 253 nt
Filed under: uncultured bacterium
Lineage: Bacteria
Description: partial 16S ribosomal RNA
Rfam family: Bacterial small subunit ribosomal RNA
Source: RNAcentral